AAGAGCCGUAUGCGGAAAAGCCGCACGUACGGUUCUGUGAGGGGUGCGUCUAGUAAUGGGCGCGUCUACCUCGAC
This 75-nucleotide non-coding RNA is filed under the name Anaerotignum propionicum DSM 1682. Lineage: Bacteria; Bacillati; Bacillota; Clostridia; Lachnospirales; Anaerotignaceae. The record is from RNAcentral.